GUACUGAUGAAGAGUCCCAAAAGAGAACGAAACAGCUGUCUAGUAC
RNAcentral lists this non-coding RNA (46 nucleotides) under Trichobilharzia regenti. Lineage: Eukaryota; Metazoa; Platyhelminthes; Trematoda; Strigeidida; Schistosomatidae. The record is from RNAcentral.